RNAcentral lists this ribosomal RNA (468 nucleotides) under uncultured bacterium. Its description in RNAcentral is "partial 16S ribosomal RNA". It matches the Rfam family "Bacterial small subunit ribosomal RNA", at positions 28 to 507 of the family's 1533-position model. The record is from RNAcentral.
GACGAACGCUGGCGGCGUGCUUAACACAUGCAAGUCGAACGGAAAGGCCCUGCUUUUGUGGGGUGCUCGAGUGGCGAACGGGUGAGUAACACGUGAGUAACCUGCCCUUGACUUUGGGAUAACUUCAGGAAACUGGGGCUAAUACCGGAUAGGAGCUCCUGCUGCAUGGUGGGGGUUGGAAAGUUUCGGCGGUUGGGGAUGGACUCGCGGCUUAUCAGCUUGUUGGUGGGGUAGUGGCUUACCAAGGCUUUGACGGGUAGCCGGCCUGAGAGGGUGACCGGCCACAUUGGGACUGAGAUACGGCCCAGACUCCUACGGGAGGCAGCAGUGGGGAAUAUUGCACAAUGGGCGGAAGCCUGAUGCAGCAACGCUGCGUGCGGGAUGACGGCCUUCGGGUUGUAAACCGCUUUCGCCUGUGACGAGGCGUGAGUGACGGUAAUGGGUAAAGAAGCACCGGCUAACUACGUG